CUGGGAGCACAGAGCAGGUCACGGCAAGGAGUGGGGGGACCUCGCACAACCCCUCCCCCAUUCAGCCCCUCAGCCCCCUGGGAGCACAGAGCAGGUCACGGCAAGGAGUGGGGGGACCUCGCACAACCCCUCCCCCAUUCCUGCCCCUCAGCCCCCUGGGAGCACAGAGCAGGUCACGGCAAGGAGUGGGGGGACCUCGCACAACCCCUCCCCCAUUCCUGCCCCUCAGCCCACUGGGAACACAG
This is a long non-coding RNA of Gopherus flavomarginatus (Mexican gopher tortoise), 245 nucleotides long. RefSeq lists it as uncharacterized. NCBI's taxonomy places the organism in Eukaryota, Metazoa, Chordata, Testudines, Testudinidae. The transcript is spliced from 3 exons. The record is from RefSeq and is a predicted model, not a curated record.